UCGUCUGUUGCCAGUUCGUCUUUCAGCUGAGGGGUAAGGUAGCAAUCCGACACCGAGCACAAUUGUCAAGGUUAUCACCCAUUCCAUCACUGUUCUCUGUGGGUGCAGAGCAGAAACAGUGUCUGCAGGACAGUGCACCUUGAUAGUACUACACUACACAACACUCACAUAAUUAUUUAGUCUAGUCAUGUAACAAGUAGCACAAGUUGUUAUGUCAGAAUGUGACGCCUUAUAUUUUGGACGAAGGCAAACGUAUGAUUGCUGCCACCAUUCCCCAAACACCCAGUACAAAAAAGGAGUAACAUUUUACCUAAAACUCAAUGGAUGACAAAUUAAAAUGCUCAACUUUUACUAUAGGUUGAUUAACCAAUGUGUUGAAACCUAUGCCACCCAAGACAUAGCAACUGUAUUAUGCAUUCAUUUAUGUAGUAAAAAUCUCCCCAAUUUGGUCAUUUCAUGAGUUAAAGCUAAUGUGUCACCUAAAAGAAGCGCAUAUCAGUUUUUGUCAUAUGAUGAAGACAACAUUUCUUCAACUUGUUCUGCAAAUCCCAUCUCCAACAUUUGGUCCACUUCAUCCAGAACAACGUGUCGAGAGGUCGAGUUUUUUGUUAUGGAGGUGGUCUUUGAUUGGCUCAUAUUUGGUAAUUACGAGAAGCUUUAUAUGAGAUAUAAAGAGUAAAUUAUAAAUUUCUUAUGUAUUUAUCUAUUUAGCACCAGAGGUGCCGACCAGGAUAUCAAUACCACUACGGAUAGCAUCGAUCUGUGGCUUGUAUGAGCUGCCUCCAUAGAAACGGGCUAACCCUCGGGCAUGCGGAUGGAACGCGCCUUCAUUUCCCUGAAACUCUCUCCUGCGGAGAGAAACUACGAUGUGGGGAACCAGGAGCUACUGGCGGUCAAGGUGGCUCUGGAGGAGUGGCAUCAUUGGCUGGACAGGGAAGAACACCCUUUCGUGCUCUGGACGGAUCAUAAGAUCCGGACUGCCAAACGGCUCAGCUCCAGACAGGCCAGGUCUCCGACCUACAUUUUACCUCCAUCCUGUGUGGUGGGUGCGGUUACCUGGGGCAUUGAGGAGAAGGUCAUCCAUUGGGCUCACACCUCCUUUGUCUCUUGCCAUCCCGGAGUACGGCGGACGAUCUUCGUUAUCAGACAACGCUUCUGGUGGCCAUCCAUGGAAAAGGAGGUUGGGGAGUACGUGGCCGCCUGUCCUGUUUGUGCCUGGAACAAGUUCUCCCGAUGCCCACCUCCUGGUCUCCUGCGCCCGCAGAGAGAAGUGGGCUGAUCGCCGGCGCAUCUCGGGUCCCACCUAUCAACCCGGGCAGAGGGUUUGGCUUUCCACCAGGGACCUCCCGCAAGCUGGUGCCCCGGUUUGUGGGUCCUUUUCACAUUUCCAAGGCAUUCAAUCCAGUGGCAGUACGGCUCAGCUUCCCCAGAUCCCUGAGGGUUCACCCCAGUUUCCAUGUGGCGCGAGUCAAGCCUCUUAUGGAGAGUCCUCUCUCCCGUUGAUCACCCGUUUAUCAAACCUGUUUCUUGCAAGUAAAGAUUGGUGUAUCAGAUUUUCCCCCGUGUCUGAGUCGUGCUUUUGAGUCCUAUUCUUUGGGGUUACCACCCGGCGUUACAGGUGUUGGUUUUUAUGGUUGUCAUUAUUGGGAUGUUGCUAUGAUUAUUAGUAUUACAGCCACAUUUCACUUAAAGUUAUUUGAAAUAAUGAAUGUCAUUUCGAAGUCAUCAAACACCAAUCAUCCUGUCAAUACUUAUGUUUGACCUUGUAAAAGCAUGAGAUUGAAAAUCUUAAGUAUAAUGAGCAUUAUCACAAUAAGCAAGCAAUUAGUGACUAUUUGUCAAUUAGUCUGACCUGUUACCAUUGAGAUUUUAAUUUUUCUUUCUUUGCAUGGUUUUCUCUUGUUCCUCCCAACAAAAGUGUUGGAAUCCUGAAUAUGCAGAAGGAAAAUAAACAAAGCUGGCCCCUCCAGGCAUCUAAAAAAGAAACAUUGAACUUCUCUAAUUAAACUGAACUUCCCUUCUGAACAGCGAGCAAGGCUGUGGGAACAUAAUAUUGCCUCCUCGGGUCCUCUCUCAGCCUGAUAUCGGUCUCCUGCAUCAGCUACUCUUCUGGAACA
This is a long non-coding RNA of Cottoperca gobio, 2117 nucleotides long. The record is from Ensembl. NCBI's taxonomy places the organism in Eukaryota, Metazoa, Chordata, Actinopteri, Perciformes, Bovichtidae.